RNAcentral lists this ribosomal RNA (1125 nucleotides) under Triticum aestivum (bread wheat). RNAcentral's name for it is "partial small subunit ribosomal RNA". Lineage: Eukaryota; Viridiplantae; Streptophyta; Magnoliopsida; Poales; Poaceae. The record is from RNAcentral.
AUGUCUUUCAGGAGCAUGGUCCGGGAGAUGAAGGGCGAGGUGGACGCCAUCGCCCGGCGCCGGCCGCUUCCGUCGGCGCGCGGCGUCCGGCGGGUGGCGGCGGUGGCGACGGAGGAGGAGGCCGCGCGGCAGGGCUGCUGCUGGGCGGAGCUGCCGCCGGAGCUCCUGCGGGAGGUGCUGGCGCGGGUCGAGGCGUCGGAGCCGCGGUGGCCGCGCCGCCGCGACGUGGUGGCGUGCGCCGGCGUCUGCCGGACCUGGAGGGGUGUUGUCAGGGAGAUCGUCCGCGUUCCCGAGGUGUCCGGGCGGCUCACCUUCCCCAUCUCUCUCAAGCAGCCUGGACCAAGAGAUGCUCCCAUCAAAUGUUUCAUUCGGAGGCACCGGGCUACUCAGACAUAUUUCCUCUACAUUGGACUGACUGAUGCGCUAGCUGAUACUGGGAAGUUCCUACUUGCUGCACGCAAAUACCAUAGGCCAACAUGCACCGAAUAUCUAAUUUCACUUGACAAGACUGAUAUGUCAAAGGGGAGUCAAACCUGCGUUGGCAAGUUAAGAUCGAAUUUCUUGAGAACGAAGUUUACUGUCUAUGAUGCGCAUCCACCUCAUGCUGGACCUGUGGUUUCAAAGAGAUGGCCUGCUGGCGACUAUCCAGUUAUACAAAUUAAUUAUGAAGUGAAUGUUUUGGGAUCUAGGGGCCCAAGAAGAAUGAACUGUAUCAUGGAAUCUAUCCCUGUAUCAGCAAUUGAACAAGGAGGAACAGCUCCAACACAGACUGCGUUUCCUUUCUUCAAUCCCAAAUCAUCUCGAAUGGAUAGCUCAAUUACUCCAUUAUCCAGUCAAGUGGAAAGUAAGCUGGUGCUUAAGAACAAGUCCCCCAGGUGGCACGAACAUCUGCGGUGCUGGUGCCUCAACUUCCACGGACGGGUGACGGUUGCAUCAGUGAAAAACUUUCAGCUGGUGGCUUCAGAUGAGAGUGCUCCAGCUAACGAGGAGAAUGACGACACCACCCUCCAGUUUGGUAAGAUUGGGAAGGACUUGUUCACACUCGACUACCGUUACCCGGUAUCGGCGUUUCAGGCAUUUGCGAUCUGCCUCAGCAGCUUCGACACCAAAUUAGCGCGCGAAUGA